GCCUAAUUAGCUCAGUUGGUAGAGCACCCGGCUGUUAACCGGUAGGUCGUAGGUUCGAGUCCUACAUUAGGCGCCA
Molecule: transfer RNA, 76 nt
Filed under: Mycoplasmatota bacterium
Lineage: Bacteria; Bacillati; Mycoplasmatota
Description: Tenericutes bacterium (anaerobic digester metagenome) tRNA-Asn
Rfam family: tRNA
About the family: Transfer RNA (tRNA) molecules are approximately 80 nucleotides in length. Their secondary structure includes four short double-helical elements and three loops (D, anti-codon, and T loops). Further hydrogen bonds mediate the characteristic L-shaped molecular structure. tRNAs have two regions of fundamental functional importance: the anti-codon, which is responsible for specific mRNA codon recognition, and the 3' end, to which the tRNAs corresponding amino acid is attached (by aminoacyl-tRNA synthetases). tRNAs cope with the degeneracy of the genetic code in two manners: having more than one tRNA (with a specific anti-codon) for a particular amino acid; and 'wobble' base-pairing, i.e. permitting non-standard base-pairing at the 3rd anti-codon position.
Source: RNAcentral